This 483-nucleotide ribosomal RNA is filed under the name uncultured bacterium. Its description in RNAcentral is "partial 16S ribosomal RNA". It matches the Rfam family "Bacterial small subunit ribosomal RNA", at positions 28 to 523 of the family's 1533-position model. The record is from RNAcentral.
GACGAACGCUGGCGGCGUGCUUAACACAUGCAAGUCGAACGAUGAAGCCGGAGCUUGCUCCGGUGAAUUAGUGGCGAACGGGUGAGUAACACGUGAGCAAUCUGCCCUUGACUCUGGGAUAACUGCGGGAAACUGUAGCUAAUACCGGAUACGACACCUUGGGGCAUCCCAGGGUGUGGAAAGAAUUUCGGUCAAGGAUGAGCUCGCGGCCUAUCAGCUAGUUGGUGAGGUAAUGGCUCACCAAGGCGACGACGGGUAGCCGGCCUGAGAGGGUGACCGGCCACACUGGAACUGAGACACGGUCCAGACUCCUACGGGAGGCAGCAGUGGGGAAUAUUGCACAAUGGGCGAAAACCUGAUGCAGCAACGCCGCGUGAGGGAUGAAGGCCUUCGGGUUGUAAACCUCUUUUAGCAGGGAAGAAGCGAAAGUGACGGUACCUGCAGAAAAAGCACCGGCUAACUACGUGCCAGCAGCCGCGGUAA